RNAcentral lists this long non-coding RNA (289 nucleotides) under Homo sapiens (human). RNAcentral describes it as "non-protein coding lnc-EMP2-6:1". The record is from RNAcentral. Lineage: Eukaryota; Metazoa; Chordata; Mammalia; Primates; Hominidae.
UGACAUCGAUGAAGACCAGAUGCUUCAGGAGACAGGGAUGACCAACGCUUGGUUAUUGGGAGAUGCCCCUCGGACCCUUACAAACACUCGUUGCCAUCCCAGGCGGUGAAUGACAGCUAUCUUCGGUCGUCCUUGAGGUCAACGGCAUCGUACUGUUCCAGGGACAGUCGGGGCCACAAUGAUGUGUAUAUUUCGGAGCAUGUUAUGCCUUAUGCUGCAAAUAAGAAUAAUAUGUACUCUACCCCCAGGGUUUUAAAUUCCUGCAGCAAUAGACGCGUGUACAAGAAAA